RNAcentral lists this small RNA (127 nucleotides) under Marmota monax (woodchuck). The record is from RNAcentral. Lineage: Eukaryota; Metazoa; Chordata; Mammalia; Rodentia; Sciuridae.
GCUGGGCAUGGUGGCACAUGCUUGUAAUCUCAGCAACUUGAGAGGCUAAGACAGGGGGAUCAAAAGUCCCAGACCAGCCCCAGCAAUUUAGCAGGAUCCUCAGCAACUUAAUGAGACCCUGUCUCAA